CCUACGGGAGGCAGCAGUGAGGAAUAUUGGUCAAUGGACGCAAGUCUGAACCAGCCAAGCAGCGUGCAGGAAGACGGCUCUAUGGGUUGUAAACUGCUUUUGUACGGGAGUAAACGCAGUUACGUGUAUCUGUUUGCAAGUAUCGUAUGAAUAAGGAUCGGCUAACUCCGUGCCAGCAGCCGCGGUAAUACGGAGGAUUCAAGCGUUAUCCGGAUUUAUUGGGUUUAAAGGGAGCGUAGGCGGGAUGUUAAGUCAGAGGUGAAAUACCGAGGCUGAACUGCGGAAUUGCAUCUGAUACUGGUCGGCUUGAGUGCAGGUGCGGGAGGCGGAAUUCGUGGUGUAGCGGUGAAAUGCUUAGAGAUCAGGAAGAACACCGAUUGCGAAGGCAGCUUACUAAACUGCUACUGACGUUGAGGCUCGAAAGCGUGGGGAGCAAACAGGAUUAGAUACCCCUGUAGUG
Molecule: ribosomal RNA, 460 nt
Filed under: uncultured bacterium
Lineage: Bacteria
Description: partial 16S ribosomal RNA
Rfam family: Bacterial small subunit ribosomal RNA
Source: RNAcentral